This 352-nucleotide unclassified non-coding RNA is filed under the name Hevea brasiliensis (rubber tree). The record is from RNAcentral. Lineage: Eukaryota; Viridiplantae; Streptophyta; Magnoliopsida; Malpighiales; Euphorbiaceae.
GGGGGGGGCGCGGAGGGGGUGGUUAAAUCUGUGAACACGGGAUAAAUUAGUAGGGGAAGAAGUGACCAGAAAAAAAGGGAGAAGGGAGACGUAAAAUAAUGUGGAGAAAAGUAGUAUUAAAGGAUUUACAAGUUUCGAGGAUUGAUGCAAACUUGGUGGCUAAUAGAGCUGAAUGGCGAAAAAGGAUCUAUAUUGCCGACCCCAACUAGCUUGGGAUUAAAACUGUUGUUGUUGGGUUAAAUCUGCCAAUAACCAAACCAAAUCAAUAAAUAGAAGAGCACAAAUCUUUUAUGUGGUUUUAUUCCAAUAGAGUAGGUUAUUCCUUAUGUGUAACAUCAGAACCACCUUUAGC